CUGUGCCGGGCCGGGGCCGGGGCUCAGCUCGGUGCUGGCCCUCACAGGGAGCCCUGGUGCGAAAGGAGCGGUCGCUGGGAGCGCUGUGUGGGCAGAGCUUCUGGAAAGAUUUGGUGAAAACGAGCGCUUUAAAAAGCUGUUUGCAGUGAUGUGCUCAGUGACCCUGCUGAGGGACUGCAGGGUUUAUAUUCUGUGCUACUUCUAGACUGGUUUUCCAAAUGGAAUGCUCCUUCUGGAUGGGAAUCUGGCACACCUUCUAGCUUCCUUUCAGCUGACAUAACUAUCUCAGCAUCUUGAGGGAAGUGUGAGUAUGCUGAAGGUCUCAUGAGCACCCAUCAGAAAUGGAAUAAUUCCUGUCAUUUUAACUCUCCAAUCCUGGCUGCAAAAAUGUGGAGGUAUCUUUUGGGUCAUGGGGGUUGUGAACUUUUUUCUGAGGUUGCACUUCCAGCUGUCUUUCCCAGUCUGUGACACUGCUGCCUGGAGUGAAAGAGGUGUCAAAUCAACCUCUGUCAAAUCAAUGGCAUUUAAUAUAAGGAAGAUGACCUUGUAAUUUCUUUCAGAUUUCAGUAUUUCAGCAUUUUCAAUUGUUUCAUUAUUAGAACAUUUCUUUGCAGAGUUUAGCUUCAAUUUUGGCUAUGUGUAAAAGUGAGAGAUCACUUGGACAAUGAAAUUUGAAUAUUCCUCACAGGGUUUACCAGGGUCAUGGAUGCCCAAUUUAGGAACUUGUUGAAUAGAUUACAAUGCUCAUUUACUUUUGAAUGUUCUGCUACCAGUCUAUUAUUUUAGUAUUUUUAUACAUAAUCCUUUAAAAGGUUGUAUAAAGUUACUGUUUCUCAAAUCUCAACUAGGCUACAGUCUCUCAAACACAAGAGGAAUAUACAGUGUAUAAAAAGAGGAAUCUUCAGCCCCAGUGGUUGUACUGAAGUUAUUUUGCCAGGGCUAAAAGAGGAGAUCAAAAUACACUGAUCUGUUAAAAGACAGACCCUAAAUAAAUGGAUGUAUUUGUACA
RNAcentral lists this long non-coding RNA (1009 nucleotides) under Parus major (Great Tit). Its description in RNAcentral is "lncRNA (ENSPMJG00000014528.1)". The record is from RNAcentral. Lineage: Eukaryota; Metazoa; Chordata; Aves; Passeriformes; Paridae.